GGGGGGUGUGUUGGAGGGGGCGGCCUGCUUGGAAGCCCCCGCGCCGCCCGCGGGCACCUCCGCACCCUGCUCCCCGCCGCCGCCGCCGAGGGCCGGAUCCGGGUUCUGCCACGCACGAGUAUCCAAACUGGAAAGAGCAGGAUUCACAAUCAGUGCUGGUGGUUGCGCAGGCCCUGUGACAGAUACUUGCUAGGGGAAGGGCUCAACAGCUGCAUCCCAUUCUCCCCCAUUUUCUGAGACCCUUCAGUCCAUGGAACUGGACUUUAUCAAGUACAGCUACAUGGAAACUGUGACUUCACUGGAACCAAUCAAGACAAUCAAGAAAACCAAGGUGCUACUUCAAAUCCUGACCUGUUCAAUGAAAAGCAUGUUCACUUUUGUGGCUAAUUUGCCUGACCAAGAAGUUAAGAGUAAAAGUUAAAUUAUACAUUUUUUUCCUGGUAUAUAGAAGUCAUGAGUUUUAGUUAGUUAAUACCUGUGUAGCUUUUCUUAAAGGUAAAAUACAUUUGAUAACUGUAGCAUGUUUAACAGUAAGGACUAGGCAGAACACCUCAGUUAGAAUUUUUCAAAGGCACUUAUGGUAGGUUUCCCCAAAAUUCCGUAGGUCUUGGAUGCAGUAAAGUCUAAUUUACUGAGAUGCUUGAACCAAAGCAGAUUUGUUAUCUUGAUAUAUAUCUCUGUGUGUAUACUGUUAUUUCAACAUUUUAAAAUGUUGUUUCAAUUUGCCUAAGUGCAGUUGCAAAAAAAUAAACAUGAAUGCAGGGGAUGCAAACUUGCUAGAACAUCCCCAAAAAAAUUGUUGGCUGGUAGACAGUUGUCAGGAGCAUCAGACUUAUGGAUACUGUAAAAUGCCUGUAGCCUUGCUUCAUCCUUUGCCAUGUUAAAGCCUCGGAAAGCCAGGUUUGCUGGAUGUGUGGAAAUGCUUUGAGUUUGGGCCCCUCAUCUUUUGGGGAAUAAAGUUCAAAAUUAAGAAUUCCACUACGCAUAGAUUUGUUCUGGGAGAAACUAUAAGUGCCUAAACUCACCUCUAUCUCCUUUCUUGCUUAAGAUCAAUGUGGUACAGUACAGUACAGUAUUAGUGCAGCCUUGUAUCCAAGUUGUACCUUAAUCUGAUCGCACCUGUGUUGAGCAAAAGACAUGAAUUAUAAAAGAAGCUGUU
This is a long non-coding RNA of Pezoporus flaviventris, 1159 nucleotides long. RefSeq lists it as uncharacterized. The record is from RefSeq and is a predicted model, not a curated record. The transcript has 3 exons. Lineage: Eukaryota; Metazoa; Chordata; Aves; Psittaciformes; Psittacidae.